UCCCUGGCAGUCCAAUGGUUAGGACACCACACUUCCACUGCAGGGAACAUGGGUUCAAUCCCUGGUCAGGGAA
This 73-nucleotide transfer RNA is filed under the name Bos taurus (domestic cattle). It matches the Rfam family "tRNA". From Rfam's summary of the family: Transfer RNA (tRNA) molecules are approximately 80 nucleotides in length. Their secondary structure includes four short double-helical elements and three loops (D, anti-codon, and T loops). Lineage: Eukaryota; Metazoa; Chordata; Mammalia; Artiodactyla; Bovidae. RNAcentral also lists the same sequence under 3 other names. The record is from Rfam by way of RNAcentral.